CUACGGGUGGCAGCAGUGAGGAAUCUUGCGCAAUGGGGGAAACCCUGACGCAGCGACGCCGCGUGGGUGAUGAAGGCCUUUGGGUCGCAAAGCCCUGUCGAGAGGGAAGAAUUGCAUUUAGGUUAAUAGCCUAAUUGUUUGACGGUACCUCCAAAGGAAGCACCGGCUACCUCCGUGCCAGCAGCCGCGGUAAUACGGAGGGUGCAAGCGUUGUUCGGAAUCACUGGGCGUAAAGGGCGUGUAGGCGGCUGAGUAAGUCAGGUGUGAAAUCCCUCGGCUCAACCGAGGAAGUGCAUUUGAUACUGCUCAUCUUGAGUACUGGAGAGGGAGAUGGAAUUCCCGGUGUAGAGGUGAAAUUCGUAGAUAUCGGGAGGAACACCAGUGGCGAAGGCGAUCUCCUGGACAGAUACUGGCGCUAAGGCGCGAAAGCGUGGGGAGCGAACAGGAUUAGAUACCCCUGUAGUC
RNAcentral lists this ribosomal RNA (465 nucleotides) under uncultured bacterium. RNAcentral's name for it is "partial 16S ribosomal RNA". It matches the Rfam family "Bacterial small subunit ribosomal RNA", at positions 339 to 795 of the family's 1533-position model. The record is from RNAcentral.